CAUCCUGCAGGUUGUUGAUUGCUAAUGAAGUUAUGGAUAUCUCUGAUGGCAGCGUCAUUCUGAAGUAAGUUAUGUGGCUUACAACAUCUAUAGUAUUUCUAACGUACUUUUAAUGUUGCUUUGGUUUAUGGUAAAUCACUGGUAGUGCUUUGGUCUGAUCAAUGAUGAAACCUAUCCCGAAGCUGAUUACCUGAAGAAAAAAAAGCACAUACGGAUUCGGCUUCUGAGAUAAGACCAAUGUGCAGAUGUGAAGUUAUUGGUGCCUGGAUUUUAUAAUUUGAGAAGUUUGUUACAUUGUGUCUUUUUUUUUUUUCCCCUCUGCCAACAGUGAGGGGUCGCUGUCUGCCUAUUGAAAGAGGCCAGAUUGCUGUGAAGUUCCUGAGAUAUUUCUGGCUAAUGCCACAAGAUUUACCGGUAUGUCGUGUGAAAAACUAAGGAAAAGCUCUUCAUUUUAUGGAUAUGGAAAGAAAAAUCAAGAUGGAUUAUAUUUUUUUUAAUUAUCCAGUCUUUAAUUAGUUAAGUAAAACUAGUUAAACUUUUUAAAAUCAAUUUUGAAUGAAUACCCUUUGGUUACAAGCUGUUUGAAUGUAAAAUGCGUCAUGGUGAUUAUAGCCAAAUGAAGGUUUUUACUAUUAUAGAAAGUUACUAAGAUGAGAGCAGAGUGGACAGAACAUAUUCCUGGGAUUGGGCUGGAAAGAAAGCCCACCAUCAAUAAUCAUUACUGGCUGAAUUAUGGAAUAUUUAGUCUUAGUGUAACAGUAUUGUGUAUUUAUUUAUGGUAUUAAGGUGUUUAUUCUGAAAACGAAGAAAGCACAAUAUAGCAAGUCAUGAGGAAGGUCACUGAUGAAAUGUAGUUUAAAAUUGUACAGACAUCCUGAAUGAAUAUAAGUGUUAAGUAAUUAAUACCAUCUGAUGUAACCAAGGUGGUUGGGCCCCAUGCAUAAUCAUUUUCCCUAAAUAGCUACAUGAAUAAAUUUUUCCCAAUCCAAAUAAAUUGGUACCCACACAAAACUUUAAGGGGAAAAAAAUACAUUUCUCUAAAACCUCAGUUAAUGUACAUUACUGCACCGUGCAUUGUGUACAACAGUUGUACACAAUGCCAAGAGAAAAGGCAAAGUACAGGAAACAAGAACAGUGCAGAAUAAGGAUGUUAAAGUGAUACAUUUGGGCAUAUGAAACACUAACCAAAGAUAUGCUUCAGAAUUGGAUCCCCAAAGGUACAAUUUCAAUGGAACUUGAAAGCUCAACAUAGAAGUUUCCAUUAGGAUUACUAAUUGAUUCAAACCUAUUACUAAACAAGGUGUACUAAUGUCAUGAUGGUGUCUUUCACACAGCACAGAUAUACUUAAAUGGUAAUAUAUAAAAAAUAAGGCAACUAAAUAAGACCAGGGACCUUAAGCUGUUACCUGUGUAAGGGAUUUAAACUUCCAGAACCAAUCUGCAACUUAAUGGACUUAGUGGAGAUCCUAAAAUGUACGGAUCUGCUGUUUGGACUGGUUUUGUGAUAAACAUAUAGAACACAGUCUACAUUUGUGUGAUGUUACUGACUAGCCAGUAAGAAUUUUCUCUCUGCUUUACACCAUUCUUUCUGAUUGCAUUAAACAGUAGGCUCAAUCCUACCAUUUGGUGUUUUGUUUUCCUUCCCAUUUGAUAUUUUCUAAAAUAAGUUCUAUUGUCAGAAAUUACAGCAUCCACUGCACUUGGAAUCCCAAUCAAGUGCCCUCUGAACUGAUUAUACACUUCAUAAUCCUUGCUGUUUGCCCAGCCUGUGUGAAAGUUUUUGACCACUUUUCAAGGGUUUUAGAGCCUCUAAAUCCCAGCCUACCAGGAUAGUCUGCUUGUCUUGCCAUUUUCUCCUUCCCAUCUUUCCUUCCAAAAGCUUGAUUCCAGAUCAAUGAUUUGCA
Molecule: long non-coding RNA, 1904 nt
Filed under: Sus scrofa (pig)
Lineage: Eukaryota; Metazoa; Chordata; Mammalia; Artiodactyla; Suidae
Description: lncRNA (ENSSSCG00070024738.1)
Rfam family: Small nucleolar RNA SNORD50 (bases 157-230)
Source: RNAcentral